GUUGACCUCGGAUCAGGUAGGGAUACCCGCUGAACUUAAGCAUAUCAAUAAGCGGAGGAAAAGAAACCAACAGGGAUUGCCUCAGUAACGGCGAGUGAAGCGGCAACAGCUCAAAUUUGAAAUCUGGCCCUUUCAGGGUCCGAGUUGUAAUUUGUAGAGGAUGUUUCGGCGAGUGCUCCCGUCUAAGUUCCUUGGAACAGGACGUCAUAGAGGGUGAGAAUCCCGUAUGUGAUGGGUUGCGCGAGCCAUGUGAAACUCCUUCGACGAGUCGAGUUGUUUGGGAAUGCAGCUCUAAAUGGGAGGUAAAUUUCUUCUAAAGCUAAAUACCGGCCAGAGACCGAUAGCGCACAAGUAGAGUGAUCGAAAGAUGAAAAGCACUUUGGAAAGAGAGUUAAAAAGUACGUGAAAUUGUUGAAAGGGAAGCGCUUGCAACCAGACUUGCCCGCAGUUGCUCAACCCGCCUCCUGGCGGGUGUACUCUUCUGCGGUCAGGCCAGCAUCAGUUCGGGCGGCCGGAUAAAGGCGUCGGGAAUGUAGCUCCUCUCGGGGAGUGUUAUAGCCCGGCGCGACAUGCGGCCAGCCUGGACUGAGGAUCUCGCUUCGGCUAGGAUGCUGGCGUAAUGGUUGUAAGCGGCCCGUCUUGAAACACGGACCAAGGAGUCUAACAUCUAUGCGAGUGUUUGGGUGUCAAACCCAUGCGCGUAAUGAAAGUGAACGGAGGUGGGAACGCGCAAGCGUGCACCAUCGACCGAUCCUGAUGUCUUCGGAUGGAUUUGAGUAAGAGCAUAGCUGUUGGGACCCGAAAGAUGGUGAACUAUGCCUGAAUAGGGUGAAGUCAGAGGAAACUCUGAUGGAGGCUCGCAGCGGUUCUGACGUGCAAAUCGAUCGUCAAAUUUGGGUAUAGGGGCGAAAGACUAAUCGAACCAUCUAGUAGCUGGUUCCUGCCGA
RNAcentral lists this ribosomal RNA (947 nucleotides) under Saccharata proteae. RNAcentral's name for it is "eukaryotic LSU rRNA". It matches the Rfam family "Eukaryotic large subunit ribosomal RNA", at positions 1 to 964 of the family's 3401-position model. The record is from RNAcentral. Lineage: Eukaryota; Fungi; Ascomycota; Dothideomycetes; Botryosphaeriales; Saccharataceae.